RNAcentral lists this unclassified non-coding RNA (203 nucleotides) under soil metagenome. Its description in RNAcentral is "partial contains 5.8S ribosomal RNA, internal transcribed spacer 2, and large subunit ribosomal RNA". The record is from RNAcentral.
AACCUAGCACACCUGCGGUGUGUACCUGCGGAGGGAUCAUUACCUAGAGUUGUAGGCUUUGCCUGCUAUCUCUUACCCAUGUCUUUUGAGUACCUUACGUUUCCUCGGUGGGUUCGCCCGCCGGUUGGACAAAACUUAAACCCUUUGUAGUUGCAAUCAGCGUCUGAAAAAACUUAAUAGUUACAACUUUCAACAAUGGAUCU